This 253-nucleotide ribosomal RNA is filed under the name uncultured Dysgonomonas sp. Its description in RNAcentral is "partial 16S ribosomal RNA". It matches the Rfam family "Bacterial small subunit ribosomal RNA", at positions 524 to 776 of the family's 1533-position model. Lineage: Bacteria; Pseudomonadati; Bacteroidota; Bacteroidia; Bacteroidales; Dysgonomonadaceae. The record is from RNAcentral.
UACGGAGGAUGCGAGCGUUAUCCGGAUUUAUUGGGUUUAAAGGGUGCGUAGGCGGGAUUAUAAGUCAGCGGUGAAAGUUUGAGGCUCAACCUUAAAAUUGCCGUUGAAACUGUUUUUCUUGAGUAUAUUUGAAGUAGGCGGAAUUCGUGGUGUAGCGGUGAAAUGCAUAGAUAUCACGAAGAACUCCGAUUGCGAAGGCAGCUUACUAAACUAUAACUGACGCUGAAGCACGAAAGCGUGGGUAUCAAACAGG